AACGAACGCUGGCGGCAGGCCUAACACAUGCAAGUCGAACGCUCUCUUCGGAGGGAGUGGCAGACGGGUGAGUAACGCGUGGGAAUCUACCCAGCUCUACGGAAUAACGCAUGGAAACGUGUGCUAAUACCGUAUACGCCCCAUGGGGGAAAGAUUUAUCGGAGUUGGAUGAGCCCGCGUCUGAUUAGCUAGUUGGUGAGGUAAUGGCUCACCAAGGCGACGAUCAGUAGCUGGUCUGAGAGGAUGACCAGCCACACUGGGACUGAGACGCGGCCCAGACUCCUACGGGAGGCAGCAGUGGGGAAUAUUGGACAAUGGGCGCAAGCCUGAUCCAGCCAUGCCGCGUGAGUGAUGACGGCCUUAGGGUUGUAAAGCUCUUUCACCGGUGAAGAUAAUGACGGUAACCGGAGAAGAAGCCCCGGCUAACUUCGUG
RNAcentral lists this ribosomal RNA (433 nucleotides) under uncultured bacterium. RNAcentral describes it as "bacterial SSU rRNA". It matches the Rfam family "Bacterial small subunit ribosomal RNA", at positions 29 to 507 of the family's 1533-position model. The record is from RNAcentral.